UUAAGCGACUAAGCGUACACGGUGGAUGCCCUGGCAGUCAGAGGCGAUGAAGGACGUGCUAAUCUGCGAUAAGCGUCGGUAAGGUGAUAUGAACCGUUAUAACCGGCGAUUUCCGAAUGGGGAAACCCAGUGUGAUUCGUCACACUAUCAUUAACUGAAUCCAUAGGUUAAUGAGGCGAACCGGGGGAACUGAAACAUCUAAGUACCCCGAGGAAAAGAAAUCAACCGAGAUUCCCCCAGUAGCGGCGAGCGAACGGGGAGAGCCCAGAGCCUGAAUCAGUAUGUGUGUUAGUGGAAGCGUCUGGAAAGGCGUGCGAUACAGGGUGACAGCCCCGUACACAAAAAUGCACAUGCUGUGAGCUCGAUGAGUAGGGCGGGACACGUGGUAUCCUGUCUGAAUAUGGGGGGACCAUCCUCCAAGGCUAAAUACUCCUGACUGACCGAUAGUGAACCAGUACCGUGAGGGAAAGGCGAAAAGAACCCCGGCGAGGGGAGUGAAAAAGAACCUGAAACCGUGUACGUACAAGCAGUGGGAGCCUCUUUAAUGGGGUGACUGCGUACCUUUUGUAUAAUGGGUCAGCGACUUAUAUUCUGUAGCAAGGUUAACCGAAUAGGGGAGCCGAAGGGAAACCGAGUCUUAACUGGGCGUUAAGUUGCAGGGUAUAGACCCGAAACCCGGUGAUCUAGCCAUGGGCAGGUUGAAGGUUGGGUAACACUAACUGGAGGACCGAACCGACUAAUGUUGAAAAAUUAGCGGAUGACUUGUGGCUGGGGGUGAAAGGCCAAUCAAACCGGGAGAUAGCUGGUUCUCCCCGAAAGCUAUUUAGGUAGCGCCUCGUGAAUUCAUCUCCGGGGGUAGAGCACUGUUUCGGCAAGGGGGUCAUCCCGACUUACCAACCCGAUGCAAACUGCGAAUACCGGAGAAUGUUAUCACGGGAGACACACGGCGGGUGCUAACGUCCGUCGUGAAGAGGGAAACAACCCAGACCGCCAGCUAAGGUCCCAAAGUCAUGGUUAAGUGGGAAACGAUGUGGGAAGGCCCAGACAGCCAGGAUGUUGGCUUAGAAGCAGCCAUCAUUUAAAGAAAGCGUAAUAGCUCACUGGUCGAGUCGGCCUGCGCGGAAGAUGUAACGGGGCUAAACCAUGCACCGAAGCUGCGGCAGCGACACUAUGUGUUGUUGGGUAGGGGAGCGUUCUGUAAGCCGUUGAAGGUGGCCUGUGAGGGUUGCUGGAGGUAUCAGAAGUGCGAAUGCUGACAUAAGUAACGAUAAAGCGGGUGAAAAGCCCGCUCGCCGGAAGACCAAGGGUUCCUGUCCAACGUUAAUCGGGGCAGGGUGAGUCGACCCCUAAGGCGAGGCCGAAAGGCGUAGUCGAUGGGAAACAGGUUAAUAUUCCUGUACUUGGUGUUACUGCGAAGGGGGGACGGAGAAGGCUAUGUUGGCCGGGCGACGGUUGUCCCGGUUUAAGCGUGUAGGCUGAUUUUCCAGGCAAAUCCGGAGAAUCAAGGCUGAGGCGUGAUGACGAGGCACUACGGUGCUGAAGCAACAAAUGCCCUGCUUCCAGGAAAAGCCUCUAAGCAUCAGGUAACAUCAAAUCGUACCCCAAACCGACACAGGUGGUCAGGUAGAGAAUACCAAGGCGCUUGAGAGAACUCGGGUGAAGGAACUAGGCAAAAUGGUGCCGUAACUUCGGGAGAAGGCACGCUGAUGGUAGGUGAAGCGACCUGCUCGUGGAGCUGAAAUCAGUCGAAGAUACCAGCUGGCUGCAACUGUUUAUUAAAAACACAGCACUGUGCAAACACGAAAGUGGACGUAUACGGUGUGACGCCUGCCCGGUGCCGGAAGGUUAAUUGAUGGGGUCAGCCGCAAGGCGAAGCUCUUGAUCGAAGCCCCGGUAAACGGCGGCCGUAACUAUAACGGUCCUAAGGUAGCGAAAUUCCUUGUCGGGUAAGUUCCGACCUGCACGAAUGGCGUAAUGAUGGCCAGGCUGUCUCCACCCGAGACUCAGUGAAAUUGAACUCGCUGUGAAGAUGCAGUGUACCCGCGGCAAGACGGAAAGACCCCGUGAACCUUUACUAUAGCUUGACACUGAACAUUGAGCCUUGAUGUGUAGGAUAGGUGGGAGGCUUUGAAGUGUGGACGCCAGUCUGCAUGGAGCCGACCUUGAAAUACCACCCUUUAAUGUUUGAUGUUCUAACGUGGACCCGUGAUCCGGGUUGCGGACAGUGUCUGGUGGGUAGUUUGACUGGGGCGGUCUCCUCCUAAAGAGUAACGGAGGAGCACGAAGGUUGGCUAAUCCUGGUCGGACAUCAGGAGGUUAGUGCAAUGGCAUAAGCCAGCUUGACUGCGAGCGUGACGGCGCGAGCAGGUGCGAAAGCAGGUCAUAGUGAUCCGGUGGUUCUGAAUGGAAGGGCCAUCGCUCAACGGAUAAAAGGUACUCCGGGGAUAACAGGCUGAUACCGCCCAAGAGUUCAUAUCGACGGCGGUGUUUGGCACCUCGAUGUCGGCUCAUCACAUCCUGGGGCUGAAGUAGGUCCCAAGGGUAUGGCUGUUCGCCAUUUAAAGUGGUACGCGAGCUGGGUUUAGAACGUCGUGAGACAGUUCGGUCCCUAUCUGCCGUGGGCGCUGGAGAACUGAGGGGGGCUGCUCCUAGUACGAGAGGACCGGAGUGGACGCAUCACUGGUGUUCGGGUUGUCAUGCCAAUGGCACUGCCCGGUAGCUAAAUGCGGAAGAGAUAAGUGCUGAAAGCAUCUAAGCACGAAACUUGCCCCGAGAUGAGUUCUCCCUGAGACUUUAAGUCUCCUGAAGGAACGUUGAAGACGACGACGUUGAUAGGCCGGGUGUGUAAGCGCAGCGAUGCGUUGAGCUAACCGGUACUAAUGAACCGUGAGGCUUAACCUU
This 2901-nucleotide ribosomal RNA is filed under the name Escherichia coli E1118. Its description in RNAcentral is "bacterial LSU rRNA". It matches the Rfam family "Bacterial large subunit ribosomal RNA". Lineage: Bacteria; Pseudomonadati; Pseudomonadota; Gammaproteobacteria; Enterobacterales; Enterobacteriaceae. The record is from RNAcentral.